RNAcentral lists this ribosomal RNA (2892 nucleotides) under Stenotrophomonas maltophilia. Its description in RNAcentral is "bacterial LSU rRNA". It matches the Rfam family "Bacterial large subunit ribosomal RNA". Lineage: Bacteria; Pseudomonadati; Pseudomonadota; Gammaproteobacteria; Lysobacterales; Lysobacteraceae. The record is from RNAcentral. RNAcentral also lists the same sequence under 1 other name.
GUUAUAUGGUCAAGCGAAUAAGCGCACACGGUGGAUGCCUUGGCGGUCAGAGGCGAUGAAGGACGUGGCAGCCUGCGAAAAGUAUCGGGGAGCUGGCAACAAGCUUUGAUCCGGUAAUGUCCGAAUGGGGAAACCCACCCGCUUGCGGGUAUCCUGCAGUGAAUACAUAGCUGCUGGAAGCGAACCUGGUGAACUGAAAUAUCUAAGUAACCAGAGGAAAAGAAAUCAACCGAGAUUCCGUAAGUAGCGACGAGCGAACGCGGACUAGCCCUUAAGCUGAUUUGGUUCUAGGAAAACGCUCUGGAAAGAGCGGCCAUAGAAGGUGAUAGCCCUGUAUCUGAAAGGGCCAUUUCAGUGAAGACGAGUAGGGCGGGGCACGUGAAACCCUGUCUGAACAUGGGGGGACCAUCCUCCAAGGCUAAAUACUACUGACCGACCGAUAGUGAACCAGUACCGUGAGGGAAAGGCGAAAAGAACCCCGGAGAGGGGAGUGAAAUAGAACCUGAAACCGUGUGCGUACAAGCAGUAGGAGCUCCGCAAGGAGUGACUGCGUACCUUUUGUAUAAUGGGUCAGCGACUUACUGUUCGUGGCAAGCUUAACCGUAUAGGGGAGGCGAAGGGAAACCGAGUCUGAUAAGGGCGCAUAGUCGCGGGCAGUAGACCCGAAACCGGGUGAUCUAGUCAUGCCCAGGGUGAAGGUGCGGUAACACGCACUGGAGGCCCGAACCCACUCCCGUUGCAAAGGUAGGGGAUGAGGUGUGAUUAGGAGUGAAAAGCUAAUCGAACCCGGAGAUAGCUGGUUCUCCUCGAAAGCUAUUUAGGUAGCGCCUCAUAUGUAUCCUCUCGGGGGUAGAGCACUGUUAUGGCUAGGGGGUCAUCGCGACUUACCAAACCAUUGCAAACUCCGAAUACCGAGACGGACUGUAUGGGAGACACACGGCGGGUGCUAACGUCCGUCGUGAAAAGGGAAACAACCCAGACCCACAGCUAAGGUCCCAAAUUCAGUGCUAAGUGGAAAACCAUGUGGAAAGGCACAGACAGCCAGGAGGUUGGCUUAGAAGCAGCCACCCUUUAAAGAAAGCGUAAUAGCUCACUGGUCGAGUCGGUCUGCGGGGAAGAUUUAACGGGGCUAAGCACUGAACCGAAGCUUGGGGUGCAUACUUUGUAUGCGCGGUAGAGGAGCGUUCCGUAAGCCUGCGAAGGUGGAUUGAGAAGUCCGCUGGAGGUAUCGGAAGUGCGAAUGCUGACAUGAGUAACGAUAAUGCGGGUGAAAAACCCGCACGCCGAAAGCCCAAGGUUUCCUUGCGCAACGUUAAUCGGCGCAGGGUGAGUCGGCCCCUAAGGCGAGGACGAAAGUCGUAGUCGAUGGGAAGCAGGUUAAUAUUCCUGCACCUCGCGUAAGUGCGAUGGAGGGACGGAGAAGGUUAGGUGUACCAGGCGUUGGUUGUCCUGGGGAAAGGCGGUAGGUUUGGAUCUUUGGCAAAUCCGGGAUCCUCUAAGACCGAGCACCGAGACGAGCCUUUAUGGCGAAGUCACUGAUACCACGCUUCCAGGAAAAGCUCCUAAGCUUCAGCUUACGCAGACCGUACCGUAAACCGACACAGGUGGGUAGGAUGAGAAUUCUCAGGCGCUUGAGAGAACUCGGGUGAAGGAACUAGGCAACAUGGCACCGUAACUUCGGGAGAAGGUGCACCCUUUUUGGUGGCUCGUGCGAGCUAUAGCUGAAGAGGGUCGCAGUAACCAGGCCGCUGCGACUGUUUAUCAAAAACACAGCACUCUGCAAACACGAAAGUGGACGUAUAGGGUGUGACGCCUGCCCGGUGCUGGAAGGUUAAUUGAUGGGGUCAGCCGCAAGGCGAAGCUCUUGAUCGAAGCCCCAGUAAACGGCGGCCGUAACUAUAACGGUCCUAAGGUAGCGAAAUUCCUUGUCGGGUAAGUUCCGACCUGCACGAAUGGCGUAACGACAGCGGCGCUGUCUCCACCCGAGACUCAGUGAAAUUGAAAUCGCUGUGAAGAUGCAGCGUUCCCGUGGCAAGACGGAAAGACCCCGUGAACCUUUACUAUAGCUUUACACUGAACGUUGAGUUCGUCUGUGUAGGAUAGGUGGGAGGCUAUGAAACCAUGGCGCUAGCUGUGGCGGAGCCAUCCUUGAAAUACCACCCUGUCGUGCUUGACGUUCUAACCUGGGCCCAUUAUCUGGGUCGGGGACCGUGUAUGGUGGGUAGUUUGACUGGGGCGGUCUCCUCCUAAAGAGUAACGGAGGAGCUCGAAGGUACGCUCAGCGCGGUCGGACAUCGCGCACUGUGUGCAAAGGCAUAAGCGUGCUUGACUGCAAGAUCGACGGAUCAAGCAGGUAGGAAACUAGGACUUAGUGAUCCGGUGGUUCUGUAUGGAAGGGCCAUCGCUCAACGGAUAAAAGGUACUCCGGGGAUAACAGGCUGAUACCGCCCAAGAGUUCAUAUCGACGGCGGUGUUUGGCACCUCGAUGUCGGCUCAUCACAUCCUGGGGCUGUAGUCGGUCCCAAGGGUAUGGCUGUUCGCCAUUUAAAGUGGUACGCGAGCUGGGUUCAGAACGUCGUGAGACAGUUCGGUCCCUAUCUGCCAUGGGCGUUGGAGAUUUGAGAGGGGCUGCUCCUAGUACGAGAGGACCGGAGUGGACGAACCUCUGGUGUUCCGGUUGUCACGCCAGUGGCAUUGCCGGGUAGCUAUGUUCGGAAGCGAUAACCGCUGAAAGCAUCUAAGCGGGAAGCGCGCCUCAAGAUGAGAUCUCCCGGGGCACAAGCCCCCUGAAGGAACCAUGUAGACUACGUGGUUGAUAGGUCAGGUGUGUAAGUACAGCAAUGUAUUGAGCUAACUGAUACUAAUGAUCCGUGCGGCUUGACCAUAUAACCU